RNAcentral lists this unclassified non-coding RNA (223 nucleotides) under plant metagenome. Its description in RNAcentral is "partial contains small subunit ribosomal RNA, internal transcribed spacer 1, and 5.8S ribosomal RNA". The record is from RNAcentral.
UCUCCGUUGGUGAACCAGCGGAGGGACCAUUACCGAGUUAUCAACUCCCAAACCCCUGUGAACAUACCCAACGUUGCUUCGGCGGGUCCGCCCCGGCGCCCUCGGCGUCCCGGAACCAGGCGCCCGCCGGAGGACCCAAACUCUUGUUUAAACCAUAGUGGCAUAUUCUGAGUCUCACAAGAAAAAUGAAUCAAAACUUUCAACAACGGAUCUCUUGGCUCUG